RNAcentral lists this ribosomal RNA (253 nucleotides) under uncultured bacterium. RNAcentral describes it as "partial 16S ribosomal RNA". It matches the Rfam family "Bacterial small subunit ribosomal RNA", at positions 524 to 776 of the family's 1533-position model. The record is from RNAcentral.
UACGGAGGGGGCUAGCGUUGUUCGGAAUUACUGGGCGUAAAGGGCGCGCAGGCGGCAGAUCAAGUUGGAGGUGAAAGGCCCGGGCUCAACCUGGGAAUUGCCUUCAAAACGGGUCUGCUUGAAUCCGGGAGAGGUAAGUGGAAUUCCCAGUGUAGAGGUGAAAUUCGUAGAUAUUGGGAAGAACACCGGCGGCGAAGGCGGCUUACUGGACCGGAAUUGACGCUGAGGCGCGAAAGCGUGGGGAGCAAACAGG